This 70-nucleotide transfer RNA is filed under the name Lophotermes septentrionalis. Its description in RNAcentral is "tRNA-Phe". The record is from RNAcentral. Lineage: Eukaryota; Metazoa; Arthropoda; Insecta; Blattodea; Termitidae.
ACUUGAAUAGCUUAUAUUUUAGAGCGCGACGCUGAAGAUGUCGAUGAGGUGGAUUUGUUACCUUUAAGUA